RNAcentral lists this ribosomal RNA (520 nucleotides) under uncultured Glomus. RNAcentral describes it as "SSU rRNA". It matches the Rfam family "Eukaryotic small subunit ribosomal RNA", at positions 569 to 1091 of the family's 1831-position model. The record is from RNAcentral. Lineage: Eukaryota; Fungi; Glomeromycota; Glomeromycetes; Glomerales; Glomeraceae.
AGCAGCCGCGGUAAUUCCAGCUCCAAUAGCGUAUAUUAAAGUUGUUGCAGUUAAAAAGCUCGUAGUUGAAUUUCGGGAUCAAGUCGUCGGUCGUGCUUAGGUACGUACUGGCGUCAUUGAUUUCUCCCUUCUGACGAACCAUGAUGUCAUUAAUUUGGUGUUAUGGGAAAUCAGGACUGUUACUUUGAAAAAAUUAGAGUGUUUAAAGCAGGCUCACGCUUGAAUACAUUAGCAUGGAAUAAUGAAAUAGGACGUUCGAUCCUAUUUUGUUGGUUUUAGGAUCAACGUAAUGAUUAAUAGGGAUAGUUGGGGGCAUUAGUAUUCAAUUGUCAGAGGUGAAAUUCUUGGAUUUAUUGAAGACUAACUACUGCGAAAGCAUUUGCCAAGGAUGUUUUCAUUAAUCAAGAACGAAAGUUAGGGGAUCGAAGACGAAUCAGAUACCGUCGUAGUCUUAACCAUAAACUAUGCCGACUAGGGAUCGGAUGAUGUUAAUUUUUUAAUGACUCAUUCGGCGCCUUAC